Molecule: long non-coding RNA, 8813 nt
Filed under: Eutrema salsugineum
Lineage: Eukaryota; Viridiplantae; Streptophyta; Magnoliopsida; Brassicales; Brassicaceae
Description: long non-coding RNA (ESAL_LNC000579)
Source: RNAcentral
AACUAAAAAAAAAAAACCUAGAAGCACCUAGAAGCUUUUUCUGUGCUUGUGAAGACUCGAGAAAGGAGAUUUGCUAAGGUGUCAAAGUCCACGUAACAUGUAUGUACAUACUAUUAUAUUAAUGAAAGUUUGAACUCAGUUAUGCUAGUGGAAGCAUGUGUUUAAGAUUUAAUGCAAUACAGAUGGCGAAACAAACCAUGGCGUACUCUAAUCAAGCACUCCAGUUUCGUGCUGACCAGAAGAUUUACCACUUGCAGGUCAGUUCUAAUUUACAUUUAUGCUCUCAGAAAGCAGAAGUACAUGCUACAAUGUUCAUUUAAUCAUUUCCCUCUUUUGGUCCCAUGUCUUGUAAAAUUAUAUCUGUAUGGCACAGACUCCUCAAUCCCCCGUGGUGCGCACGAAAACAUACACCACGUACAGCAUUGAUGAGAAUCCAACAGGGACUAAUGCAAUAGUUGCUGUCCUGGCUCAUACUGGGUAAGAAAUUGUUUUGGCCCAUUUUCCAUUUUUGUUAUCAAGCAUUCAGAAGAAAUCUUUGGAUAUGGUGCUUAAGCGUAGUUGCAAGGAAUUUUUUUUUAUCUCCAACUUUAAUUUAAGCCUGGUCAUUGUCCUCUGCAUUCGUUUCUUUAUGAAACCCGGAAUAUUCUUGUAGUUGCAGCGAGGGGUUAAUUAUCAUCGUACAAAUUACUCAGCAUUUCCCUUCUGUGAAUUUCUUACCCUUGUCCUCAUAAUCUUGCAGACAGAAACUGUUGAUCUGUCAGAUCAGAGAAGCCGAUCGGAAAAUGCUCAUAAAAGUUUCAGGAGAAGAAAAUUUGACAAAUCAGCUCAUUCUUGUAUUGAUGCUGAUGAGUUACCAUAUGUUGGACAGGUAAAAUCAUUACUUUCCAUCCUCUUGAUGUGCUGUAGACUCAUUCUGUAAUUUUAGUUUCCUUGUUAACAUCCACAAAAACUCCGAUGCACAGAAAAUACAUCCAAAUGAGCCGUACUGUAGUAUCUAUGAUGGGGUAACUAACUCAAUAAAGACCAUGAAGCGAAAUGGCACCGACCCUGUCAUAGUUGACUUUGUCUCUGUGGACAUGAAAAGCAAGACGCAUCCUCAAAAGGUGAGGUUAACUCCUUCAACGGUCACAUAAACAGAGUCCGGUUUUGGUUAAUUCUAAUUUUUAAGGUUCAUUUGCAGGCGAAUAUUUAUGGGGCCUGUUUACUACCAAAGACUACGUCACAUGGUCUCAGACAAAUUCCAGGUUUUUGGAUCCCUCGGUAAAACUCUCCAAGUUGCACUUGUCUCAUCUUGGAGCUUUGUCUGAGUCAUAUAUUCUGGCUUUGCAGGUUAGAUCCAUAGGACUAGUGGAUCAGCUAACUCGUCAGCCAAUCAAGGGAAGGAAACGAGGUGGAGGGAUUCGAUUUGGUGAAAUGGAAAGAGACGCAAUGCUUGCUCAUGGAGCUUCGUAUCUAUUACACGACAGGCUCCACACCUCAUCAGAUCACCACAUUGCAGAUGUGUGUUCGCUAUGUGGAAGCUUGCUCACAUCUUCGGUUGUGAACGUUCAACAGAAGAAGCUGAUUCAAGAUAUUGGAAAGUUACCUCCUGGCAGGACUCCAAAGAAGGUAACUUGCGAUUCGUGCAAGACAAGCAAAGGGAUGGAAACUGUUGCAAUGCCAUAUGUGUUCAGGUACUUAGCUGCAGAAUUGGCGGCAAUGAAUAUUAAGAUGACUCUUCAGUUAAGCGGCAGAGAAGGAAGCAAUAGAGAAGGAAGCAAUAGAGAAGGAGUCUAAAUUCGCUUUCAUUUGAUGUUGUAUGUACAUCAAAGUUUUUGAGUUCUCAAAGACUGGAACAAAAUUGUCUGAAAAUUUUGACAGAUGAAGCAAGAACAAGAAUUAGAUCUCACAAUGUAACAGAGUUAUGUAGAAGAAGAAUACAUUGCUAUUAGUUUUGGUUUUGCUUCAUUAGUAUAUUUUUUUAUUCUGUGAAACGUUCUCUGGUUUUUGGUGGAAGUUAUCGUCUUAAACGUUGGUGUAUCAUUGGUAUGGAUAAAACCAAUGCAUUGGUGACAUGUUCAAUCAAAUAGCUCAAUUUUACCUUACUGGAAAUAGCCUCUGCAAUUUGAGUGAACCUUAGAACAUAAAUCCAAUUCCAUUUACUUCAAAGAUACGAGUUGAGAGAAAAAAGAGCUAUUACUUGCAAAUUAUACAUCUAAACAACCACUCUUUCUCCUCUUGCACUCACACGAAGCAAACACUGAAGCAAAAUACAGAUAAAAGUCGCUCACUUUCCGGGAACGAAGUUGGUGGCGAAGGCCCAAGCGUUGUUGUUGACUGGAUCGGCCAAAUGGUCAGCAAGGUUCUCCAACGGUCCCUUACCGGUGACGAUGGCUUGAACAAAGAAUCCGAACAUAGAGAACAUAGCCAAUCUCCCGUUCUUGAGCUCCUUCACCUUCAGCUCAGCGAAGGCCUCUGGGUCGGUAGCUAGGCCCAAUGGGUCGAAGCUGCCACCUGGGUAAAGCAAGUCAUCGGCCUCUCCCAACGGCCCAUUUCCGGCGACUCUGUAACCUUCAACGGCUCCCAUCAAGAUCACCUGAGUGGCCCAAAUCGCAAGAAUGCUCUGAGCGUGAACCAAGCUUGGGUUUCCCAAGUAGUCGAGUCCUCCUUCACUGAAGAUCUGUGAACCGGCCUUGAACCAAACCGCCUCUCCGAACUUGACUCCGUUCCUGGCCAGCAGCUCCGGGAAGACGCAGCCUAGGGCUCCGAGCAUGGCCCACCUGGAGUGGAUAACUUCUAGCUCACGGUUCCUUGCGAAUGUCUCAGGAUCGGCUGAGAGACCGGCUGUGUCCCAUCCGUAGUCUCCGGGGAACUCGCCGGUGAGGUAGCUUGGUGGCUCGCCGGAAAAUGGACCCAAGUACUUGACUCUGUCGGAUCCGUACCAUGGGCUGCCUGAUGGGCCCUUUGGUUUGGCUACGGUCUUCCUCAUCGUCACACGGCCGCUUCCGAGGACUUCUGAUGCCGCUGGAGAAAUCUUGACGGCCUUUCCGGCGAAGGCAGGGGAGGAGAGAGCCAUUGUUGAGGCAGCCAUUGCGGUUGAGUGCGGAGCAAAGUAAAAAAAAAACGUUUAUUUAGUUGUUGUUGUGAGCCAAGAAAUGGGUGGUUUGGCUUUGAUGAGCUUUUCGGUAUUUAUAAUAUAAAGUCGAAAUAAUGUCUUAUCUUAGAAUAUCAAUCUCUGGUGUUUCUAUUGGCCAUUGACAUAAUUUUUACACGAGGCACUUCAUGAGUGGAUGUUUCGAAAUAAAGUCUUAUCUUAGAAUAUCAAUCUCUGAUGUUUCAUUGGCCAAUGACAUAUUUUUAUUUUGGGUUUAGAUAUUUUGUUUGCUUACGUGGUAAUUGUGGAUCCUACUCAAUAGCUCGCAGUUGAUAUGCGUUUAAAGAGAUCUUGUAGCGUUUCAGGAGAUGGUGAAACAUCCACUCAUGAAGUGCCACGUGUAAGACUCGUUCUUUCUAUCCUUUUGAAAUCCCGAGAGCAUCAAUCAAAAAAAAAAAAAAAAAAUUAGGAUAAAUUGUUAUAUAUUACAUUGUAGUGUACCUUUUCUAAAUAAGUUUUUAUAUGCUCUUUCGCUGAAUCUGUUCUUAUAAAAAUUUAGAAGAUUAAUAAUGAUCCCUGGCUAGAGAAGACGAUAAAACAAAGCAGAUCAUACGUUGUAAUAUAUUUAUGUUAAUGCAUGUAUCAGUGCCAGCAUAUCAUUAGAGUCCAGAUAAUGGUUAAAGCCCCCAUCAUGAUCAAUUGAUCAGGGUCAUGGUCAUUCGACAAAAAUUCAUAACCACGGGUCAUGGCCAUAGCCACAAGGCCCACAACACAAGUCGGCUCUUUCCUCACAUUUGUGAUGCGUCCAAAUUAAAGUUAUUUACAAUAAGCAAAUUCCAAUUCCAUCUAAUUAACCCGUAAAUACACUGAAAACCAUCUAUUAGCUAACCCAAAUAUUGAACCAAACUCAUCUCAACCGGAUAUUAUACAAGAUGUGAAAAUGUGCUUACCAUUUGUGGAAGAGGUGAGAUAAUGUCUUGAAUACAUUUAUCUCAAUCAUGUCUAAUGCGAAGUGCCUAGCUAAGGCCAAUUCUAGAUUGUGAGAACACUAUUUUUUUAAUAGCAUUUAGCAAUAUUUUCUUUGACCUGAUCUUGAAGCUAUUUUGUUUAGCUGUUAAAUGAUUUGAUUUCUCUAUUCAUGCUUUGGUUAUUUAUUCAACUUUGGGAUUUAAAUCGAUGAGAUUUGUUUUUUGUACGUUCCUUUCCUUAUUGGAUGAUCGGUGCUAAGGACAAAUAUCAUCAUUAUUAAUUUGAUUAGGAUAUAUAUACAUAUAACCUUUUGAUUUAAGAUAUUUUAAAGCUUUGUGAUUAAAAAAAAAAAAGAGUUAGGGAUCGACAACAUUGAGCCACGUCACGGGUCAAGAAGCUCCUCGGUGUAUGGACGACGACUUUGAAGGACUUCUCCAUUUUGCAUAUAUGUACUGUACUACUGUGUUUUUGUUCAAUUAAUCCAUAUCAGUUGCAUAUAUAUUUUCCAUUUUGCAAUCCACAUAUCACAUUAAUUAUGAUAAGACUCCUUAACAUAAAAUUCAGACAGCACCUUCGAAUUAGUUAUAGGCUUGCUACAAGCCUACAAACUCAAAAACACAACACAUUUUAAACCAACAAAAAGGGCCCAAGGUUUAAUAAACUGCACAUAUUAUAGAAAUUUUUUGUAAUAGGGUUAGUGAACAUUUUAGGGUUUGCAACUGAUCACAAUGAACUUGAUGAUGAGCCGUAAUCUCGUGGCUUCCGGUUCUCAUCUCUGGAAGAGGGCCUGUACAACGGUCGCUGCUCCGGCGUCGGCUAACGUCAAGACCUCAGUUACCGCACCAUCGGCGGCGGUUGCUGGCAGAGAGAAGAGGAAGAUACUAAAGAAACUUUGGAAUCUGAAAGUUUUUGGAGGGACAGUGAAUGGGACGUUAAACGCGGCGUUUAGGAAGGAGGAAGAGAGGGUUUCCAUCACUCAAGCAGAUCUCGUCCGCUGGGCUAAGCUUAUCCACAAGGACGGAAAUCAUUUACACGCCUACCAGGUAGGGAGUAGAUAGAGAGAAUUUCAUUUCAUUAAGCAGUUCAUCAUCUAAUUUAAUUAAUUAAAAAAAGGUUUUGUGUAGGAUUAAGUAACCAAUUGAUUUAAUGAAAGUGUUUUGUGCUAACUAGGAGAAAAUCCGCGCAUAUACGCGGAUCUUGUUUUAAUUUAAAUUUUAAAUAUUACAGUUUUUAAAUUUGUAUUGGAUUUUAUGUUUAAUAUCAAUGUUUUUGCGUUUAAAAUAUUUAUAUUUUAUUCGAUUUCUUUAUGAUGUAAUCUCUUCUACAUCAAUUGUGUCAAAUAGUCUAAUUUUCUCUCAAGAUAAUAAAGAACUAAAAAUCUAUUAUUUUAAUUUUAUAUGAAAACGUAAUAAUUCACUUAAAAAUAUACGUUGAAUAUUAGAGAGAAAUAUUUAUUUGUUCUUCGAUCUUCAUAUUCUUUUUAGUCUUGUAAAUCUUACUAAUAUAAUAUUUGUUAACUUUCUCAAUUUACUAUAUUAAUUUUUUUUGGUUAUAUAUAUCUUGAUUCCAUUUUUUUUUUUUAGUAAAAAAACCAUGUAAGACAUUUUUAUGUGGACAUCAUUCUUUAAAUAUUAUUUGUGUUUUAUAAUUUUAUUAGUUGGAGUUUUAUAUAAGAUUAUUUGAAACUUCUUAACUUAUUCAAUCUAUUUUUUUUCACUUGCAUUAAAAUUUAAUUAUAAUUUUAGUUUAAAAAUGAAGUUUAAAUCACUUGAAAAAAAAUAGAAUUAUGCAUUUAAAAAGUUUUUUUAUUAUAUAAUAUUUAUAAAUUUUAUAGACUUAAAUUUAAUUUUAAUUUCAUUCUAAUAUAAAUAUAUAUUAUUAUUUACUAUUAUUAUUUAAUGUAUUUAUUUACUUAUAAUCUUUAAUGUAUUUGCUUUAAAUUUAAUUAAUUAAUACUUUUAUUAAUAUUUUUAAUGGAUAUGUGUCACUCUUUCCACUGCUGAUAUGUCACUCAGCUGGAGAUAGUUGAUUGUCUUUUAUAUAUAAGAUUGUUACAUUUGUGUAACGUAGAUUUUUGAGUGGAUGAAGAGAAAGAAAAUGACAUUUUCUCCCAAGGAGCAUGCAACCUAUUUGGAACUUAUAUACAAGAAUAAAGGCCUAGGAGAGGCGCAAGACCACUUGGACAAAGUAGACCCAGACUUCGAUGUCACGGACCCUGAUGCCAAGAAUUGGCCUGUUUUCCAGAUGCUCCAUCAAUGCUAUGGUGAUAGCUGGGAGGGUGUCCGUGGUGUCGGCUUCGCCAUCUCAAGUUCGCGUAAAGUUGAAGAAAAAAAGAAAGCUCCAUCAAAGCUUUGGUGAUCGCUGGGAUGGUGUCCGUGGUAUGGGCAUGGGAAACUUGAUCUCAACUCCUUGGGAUCAUCGUUAUCCUCGUUUCCGCACGGGAAACUUUAUCUCAACUCCUACUCGUUAUUCCCGUUUCGGCUUUGGAAACUUCAUCUCAACUCCUCGUUGUUAUCCUCGUUUCCGCUUGAGAAACUUUGUCUCAACUCCUCGGGAUUGUUAUCCUAGUGUCGGCUUGGCAAACUUCUCAACUCGUCGUGUCCGAUAAACUCGUGGCAUUUGUAAUGGAAAUAGCGUUAAUAAUAUAUAUAUGUUUGGUGCGUUUAUGUUUUCAUGAAUAAAUUAAGCCCGGCUUUCAGAGUUAUUCUCUCUGCCGCCUUAAUUUUGAAUCGUUGUAUCUUUUUUAUCUUCUUAAGUAAUGAGAGUCUCUCCAUUGAGCAUGUUUAUGGGAGAACCCUAUGCUUGUUUCUCUAGUUAAUAUUAUAUAUAUUAAUAAAUUGAUGUGCUUAGACUCUUCUUUUUUUCUGAGACAAAUACCGUCGUGCCACCUGUCACAAAUAUCACAAGAGUCGGUGCUUGUUGGUCUGAAAUAAGAGUUGGCUCGAGCAAAAUUUGGGUUUUUUAUUUUAUUUUUUAUUUUGACUUAAAAACAACAAGAAACCCACAUAGAACCCCCUAUAAACAUGCUCUCUUAUUCUAAUGUUUUUAAGAAACUCUCAUAAUAAAAUAUUAUUAUUAAUUAUUUUAACAUUAUUUUCAUGUAUGAAAGACUUUAGUGAGAGACUCAGAAGAUAGUCUUAGUAAAUCAAUAUAUAAAGUAAAUUCCUACGAGUUUAUUACAAUUAAAAUGUUAACUUUUAUGAGAUUAAGAUACUCAACACACAUUGAAAUGGUCUUUGAUCGAUGAACUGAAUUGGGGCUAAAACUUCAAACUAUAAAAGACUAAUUUUGUCAAUUGCAUGGUUAUUUUUGAAAACUAUAUAAGACUUAUAUCAACUACAUACCGUUCCAAGCGAGAUGUAGGUUAACCACACCGUUUGCCAAACUCGUUAAGACCCCCUCGUCUCUUAACUAUGUAUUUCCACAUUGAAUCAAGCCAAGUGAUGAAGAUUCAUGUUUAAUUGAUAUUUCACGGGUGGUUUGGCUCAUUAAUUAUGUUUGUUGAAGCAUGAGCUCCACGAAGGUUACUGGAACCGAAACUCGGCCCUAAGAUGAAUUAACAAUACAUAAUUAUACGUAAGAAGAAUUAAACUCGGCCUUGACUACUAUGUGAAUUCAUGCGUGAGCUCAUUCAGUGAUUGUAAGAAGAAUUGAUGAUUUAUAGAAAAUUGUUAGAGCUAAGUAAAACCGUUAAACGAGACGUGUAAUGAUUGCUCAAGGCCUUUUCUAUAAUUUUUUUUUCAUUUCUACAAGAUCGUAAUGUUAUGAUGAAUUGAAGAUAAUAGAAUAAUCAAGUUUGUUAAAUUGAUGAGUUAGUUCAAAGGGUUGUUUAAAACAAUGAUAACUCCAAUAAAAAUUCAGAGUUCCGAGAGGAAAUGUUAUUAUCCAUGAGAUUCGGAUGAAGUAACGAUGGAAUUUGGAAACGAUGUUUCUAUUCUAUUCUCAACUGGUAGUGAUGAUAUCAAUGAUCGAAACAUUGUAUAAAGGCCACAUUAUAAGAUCGAAGCAUUUACCACUUGUAUCAUUGUAUAUGAUAUUUUGGAUCAUGAAUAUCAAUCUUUUCACAGAUCGUUAAUCUUUUACGACGAGCAAAAUUCACACAAACUUAUGUUCUUUGGAAAAGCAAAGUCACAAUUGUGUUACCGUUAAAGCAUACGACGACGAUUCACAACUUGUGGUCUCAAAAUGAUUUGGCUGCAGUGAAAAAAUCAAAGCAAAAGCUGGUGGACGAGCAAAUGCCACGUAAGACCAAUAAACGAUAAAACGAAAUCUCAAAAACCCAAUGAGUAGAGAGCUAAAGAUUACUUCACAGAUAACAAACCUUACUUGCAAUAUCUCUAUUUAAUCCAAACCUAUCUAACCAUUUUCAAUCACUCUCACUCACAAGUUAGUCACCAACAAAAAAAAAACAAAAAACCAAAAGAAAAAGAAGCGUUUCAAUGGCUGCCUCAACAAUGGCUCUCUCCUCCCCUGCCUUCGCCGGCAAGGCCGUCAAGAUCUCCCCGGCGGCAUCAGAAGUCCUCGGAAGCGGCCGUGUGACAAUGAGGAAGACUGUGGCCAAGCCAAAGGGCCCAUCAGGCAGCCCAUGGUACGGAUCCGAAAGGGUCAAGUACUUGGGUCCAUUCUCCGGCGAUUCACCGAGCUACCUCACCGGAGAGUUCCCCGGAGACUACGGAUGGGACACCGCCGGUCUCUCAGCCGAUCCCGAGACAUUCGCAAGAAACCGUGAGCUAGAAGUUAUCCACUCCAGGUGGGCCAUGCUCGGAGCCCU